RNAcentral lists this ribosomal RNA (500 nucleotides) under uncultured Glomeromycotina. RNAcentral's name for it is "partial small subunit ribosomal RNA". It matches the Rfam family "Eukaryotic small subunit ribosomal RNA", at positions 591 to 1092 of the family's 1831-position model. Lineage: Eukaryota; Fungi; Glomeromycota. The record is from RNAcentral.
CCAAUAGCGUAUAUUAAAGUUGUUGCAGUUAAAAAGCUCGUAGUUGAAUUUCGGGAUCAGUACGCUGGUCGUGCCUCUGGUAUGUACUGGUGUUUCUGAUUCCUCCCUUCUGACGAACCGUCAUGUCAUUAAUUUGGUGUGGCGGGGAAUCAGGAGUGUUACUUUGAAAAAAUUAGAGUGUUUAAAUCAGGCUCGCGCGUGAAUAAAGUAGCAUGGAUAAAUGAAAUAGGACGUUCGAUCCUAUUUUGUUGGUUUCUAGGAUUGACGUAAUGAUUAAUAGGGAUAGUUGGGGGCAUUAGUAUUCAAUUGUCAGAGGUGAAAUUCUUGGAUUUAUUGAAGACUAACUACUGCGAAAGCAUUUGCCAAGGAUGUUUUCAUUAAUCAAGAACGAAAGUUAGGGGAUCGAAGACGAUCAGAUACCGUCGUAGUCUUAACCAUAAACUAUGCCGACUAGGGAUCGGAUGAUGUUAAUUUUUUAAUGACUCAUUCGGCGCCUUACG